CCGACAAUCGCGCGAUAAAUACAAUUUGGAAACACACCACACACACACUCGCCUUCAUCAAAUAUUUCACAUACAUUCGUCCAACGUUCGCCCAACAUUCAUCAAAGUUCUUAAAGUAAAGUUUUAAUAUUCAUCACAUUCGUGUGCAAUACCCUUCAAGCCACACAUUCAACAAGCAACGUAUAAAAAUCAUCAUCAACAUCAACGUUCGUAUUAAAUUAGCAUUCAUGUUUGUAAAUUGUGCGUUUUAAUCAUCGUAACAACUAUACGUUUGUAAUCUAAUAUAUUAAGCGACAUAUAAAUCAAUAUACAAAAAACGUUCAGUGUGUUUGCCAUUGCUCAUAGGCCGCCAAAUAUUUCACAAUUGGUUGCUAAAAGCGUGGAAGUUGAUCUUGCUGAGGACGUCAAACGUUUUUUUUACAAGUGCAGAAUUUACUUCCGCGUACGCAAUUUGAAAAAGCGCCUAAAAAUUAGGAAAGCCAAGCAGAGGAUAAUGGGUUACAAGAAAUUUAUAAAAAUCUACCUCUGAGUGUACGUAAGCAGCCACUAGCACCACACCAUAGAGGUCAUCACUGCAAUCACACAACAAUUGAAAAAUAAACUAUUCCUUUUUGCUUAUCAACACACUUGGCGAUCAAAAGCAAAUCGAAAUUAUUGUGGAUAUUUACACUCCCAGUCAUUAUAUUAGCAGAUCCUUUUUAUCCUCAGUAUGUACAGUUUUCCUUUUGUUUGUUUAAUAUUCAUU
This is a long non-coding RNA of Rhagoletis pomonella (apple maggot), 745 nucleotides long. RefSeq lists it as uncharacterized. The record is from RefSeq and is a predicted model, not a curated record. The transcript is spliced from 3 exons. NCBI's taxonomy places the organism in Eukaryota, Metazoa, Arthropoda, Insecta, Diptera, Tephritidae.